This 575-nucleotide long non-coding RNA is filed under the name Homo sapiens (human). Its description in RNAcentral is "HSALNT0131054". The record is from RNAcentral. Lineage: Eukaryota; Metazoa; Chordata; Mammalia; Primates; Hominidae.
CACAUUGCUUCCUCCUGGCCCUUCUGCAGCAUCAUGUUUUCCUCUUAACACAACUGGGACAGAUUCUUCUCUUGUAAGGACGCAGCUGAUAGAGAGAAGGGAAGAUGCGGCCGCCAUUUUGAACAUGAUUCGCACAACUGCCAGCAUCUAUGUCUGCAGCUCGAUUUUUCCUUCUGUGGACUUCCGUACCCUCACUAUCUGCCUAAGUAAUUUCUUCUUAACUCUGGUAUCACUGGGGAACACGGCUGGGACUCACCUGCUGACUGAAGGCUUCAGAGGGCACCUCCUCCUCCCAUCUAUGUCGUCUGCCACUCCAAGAGACUCUCUGGUUCAAUUUCUCCUGAGAAGGAACCUUCCACCUGCCAUUUAGUGGAGAAAGGGCAACUUGGGAUGGAAAUUUUCUUUAUACAGACUUUUAGGUGGUCCUGCUGUUUUUAAAAGGAGACAUCUACCCUCAAUUUUGAGCAUUUCCAGGAGCCUGUUGUGGGACAUCAGCUUGCUUUUCUUUCGCCUCCCACUUUGUUUUUCUUUUUGUGGACACAUGUGUUUCCUCCUCCUCCAUUCUGUCAACCGAG